This 394-nucleotide ribosomal RNA is filed under the name uncultured bacterium. Its description in RNAcentral is "bacterial SSU rRNA". It matches the Rfam family "Bacterial small subunit ribosomal RNA", at positions 30 to 424 of the family's 1533-position model. The record is from RNAcentral.
AUUGAACGCUGGCGGCAUGCCUUACACAUGCAAGUCGAACGGCAGCACGGGAGCAAUCCUGGUGGCGAGUGGCGAACGGGUGAGUAAUAUAUCGGAACGUGCCCAGUCGUGGGGAUAACGUAGCGAAAGCUACGCUAAUACCGCAUACGAUCUAUGGAUGAAAGCGGGGGGAUCGCAAGACCUCGCGCGAUUGGAGCGGCCGAUAUCAGAUUAGGUAGUUGGUGAGGUAAAGGCUCACCAAGCCGACGAUCUGUAGCUGGUCUGAGAGGACGACCAGCCACACUGGGACUGAGACACGGCCCAGACUCCUACGGGAGGCAGCAGUGGGGAAUUUUGGACAAUGGGCGCAAGCCUGAUCCAGCAAUGCCGCGUGCAGGAUGAAGGCCUUCGGGUU